GGCAGGAUGGCCGAGCGGUCUAAGGCGCUGCAUUCAAGAAAAUCUUCUUUCCAGGGAAAAUUUGGAUACCUGCAGUUUCGAAAGAAGCGUGGGUUCGAAUCCCACUCCUGUCA
This 113-nucleotide transfer RNA is filed under the name Scedosporium apiospermum. It matches the Rfam family "tRNA". From Rfam's summary of the family: Transfer RNA (tRNA) molecules are approximately 80 nucleotides in length. Their secondary structure includes four short double-helical elements and three loops (D, anti-codon, and T loops). The record is from Rfam by way of RNAcentral. Lineage: Eukaryota; Fungi; Ascomycota; Sordariomycetes; Microascales; Microascaceae.